CCUACGGGGGGCAGCAGUCGAGAAUCAUUCACAAUGGGGGAAACCCUGAUGGUGCGACGCCGCGUGGGGGAAUGAAGGUCUUCGGAUUGUAAACCCCUGUCAUGUGGGAGCAAAUUAAAAAGAUAGUACCACAAGAGGAAGAGACGGCUAACUCUGUGCCAGCAGCCGCGGUAAUACAGAGGUCUCAAGCGUUGUUCGGAAUGACUGGGCGUAAAGUGUGCGUAGGCUGUUUCGUAAGUCGUGUGUGAAAGGCGCGGGCUCAACCCGCGGACGGCACAUGAUACUGCGAGACUAGAGUAAUGGAGGGGGAACCGGAAUUCUCGGUGUAGCAGUGAAAUGCGUAGAUAUCGAGAGGAACACUCGUGGCGAAGGCGGGUUCCUGGACAUUAACUGACGCUGAGGCACGAAGGCCAGGGGAGCGAAAGGGAUUAGAUACCCCUGUAGUC
This 446-nucleotide ribosomal RNA is filed under the name uncultured bacterium. RNAcentral describes it as "partial 16S ribosomal RNA". It matches the Rfam family "Bacterial small subunit ribosomal RNA", at positions 338 to 795 of the family's 1533-position model. The record is from RNAcentral.